AGCGAACGCUGGCGGCAGGCUUAACACAUGCAAGUCGGGCGGGCAUCUUCGGAUGUCAGCGGCAGACGGGUGAGUAACACGUGGGAACGUACCCUUCGGUUCGGAACAACUCUGGGAAACUGGAGCUAAUACCGGAUACGCCCUUAUGGGGAAAGGUUUACUGCCGAAGGAUCGGCCCGCGUCUGAUUAGCUAGUUGGUGGGGUAACGGCCUACCAAGGCGACGAUCAGUAGCUGGUCUGAGAGGAUGAUCAGCCACACUGGGACUGAGACACGGCCCAGACUCCUACGGGAGGCAGCAGUGGGGAAUAUUGGACAAUGGGCGCAAGCCUGAUCCAGCCAUGCCGCGUGAGUGAUGAAGGCCUUAGGGUUGUAAAGCUCUUUUGUCCGGGACGAUAAUGACGGUACCGGAAGAAUAAGCCCCGGCUAACUUCGUG
RNAcentral lists this ribosomal RNA (435 nucleotides) under uncultured bacterium. RNAcentral's name for it is "partial 16S ribosomal RNA". It matches the Rfam family "Bacterial small subunit ribosomal RNA", at positions 29 to 507 of the family's 1533-position model. The record is from RNAcentral.